AAACCAACAGGGAUUGCCUCAGUAACGGCGAGUGAAGCGGCAAAAGCUCAAAUUUGAAACCCUCGGGAUUGUAAUUUGAAGAUUUGGCAUUGGAGAAAGCUAACCCAAGUUGCUUGGAAUAGUACGUCAUAGAGGGUGACAACCCCGUCUGGCUAACCGUUCUCCAUGUAUUGCCUUAUCAAAGAGUCGAGUUGUUUGGGAAUGCAGCUCAAAGUGGGUGGUAAACUCCAUCUAAAGCUAAAUACUGGUGAGAGACCGAUAGCGAACAAGUACUGUGAAGGAAAGGUGAAAAGAACUUUGAAAAGAGAGUGAAAUAGUAUGUGAAAUUGUUGAUAGGGAAGGAAAUGAGUGGAGAGUGGCCGAGGUUUCAGCCGCCCCUCGUGGGCGGUGUACUGCCGACGCCGAGUCAUCGAUAGCGAGACGAGGGUUACAAAUGGGAGCGCCUUUCGGGCGUUCUCCCCUAACCCUCCACACUGCCACCGACGACAUAAUCCACC
This 497-nucleotide ribosomal RNA is filed under the name Yarrowia lipolytica. RNAcentral's name for it is "eukaryotic LSU rRNA". It matches the Rfam family "Eukaryotic large subunit ribosomal RNA", at positions 62 to 520 of the family's 3401-position model. Lineage: Eukaryota; Fungi; Ascomycota; Dipodascomycetes; Dipodascales. The record is from RNAcentral.